This 253-nucleotide ribosomal RNA is filed under the name uncultured bacterium. RNAcentral describes it as "partial 16S ribosomal RNA". It matches the Rfam family "Bacterial small subunit ribosomal RNA", at positions 524 to 776 of the family's 1533-position model. The record is from RNAcentral.
UACGUAGGGGGCGAGCGUUGUCCGGAUUUAUUGGGCGUAAAGCGUCCGCAGGCGGUCAAGUAAGUUCGAGGUGACAGUGCGUGGCUUAACCGCGCAAGGUCCUUGAAAACUGCUCGACUUGAGGGCUUGAGAGGGACCCGGAAUUCCGGGUGGAGUGGUGAAAUGCGUAGAGAUCCGGAGGAACACCAAAGGCGCAGGCAGAGUCCUGGCAAGCCACUGACGCUCAUGGACGAAAGCUAGGGGAGCGAACGGG